RNAcentral lists this ribosomal RNA (451 nucleotides) under uncultured Fibrobacter sp. Its description in RNAcentral is "partial 16S ribosomal RNA". It matches the Rfam family "Bacterial small subunit ribosomal RNA", at positions 341 to 792 of the family's 1533-position model. The record is from RNAcentral. Lineage: Bacteria; Pseudomonadati; Fibrobacterota; Fibrobacteria; Fibrobacterales; Fibrobacteraceae.
ACGGAAGGCAGCAGUAGGGAAUAUUGCACAAUGGGGGAAACCCUGAUGCAGCAACGCCACGUGUGGGAAGAAGCAUUUCGGUGUGUAAACCACUGUCGUGAAGGAAUAAUGCUGGACCUCGGUCCAGUUGAAUGUACUUUGAAAGGAAGCACCGGCAAACUUCGUGCCAGCAGCCGCGGUAAUACGAGGGGUGCAAGCGUUGUUCGGAAUCACUGGGCGUAAAGGGAGCGCAGGCGGAGAUGCAAGCGGACUGUACAAUCCCGGGGCCCAACCCCGGACCUGCAGUCCGGACUGCACCUCUUGGAUAGUUCAGGGGCAAGCGGAAUUCCUGGUGUAGCGGUGGAAUGCGUAGAGAUCAGGAAGAACACCGAUGGCGAAGGCAGCUUGCUGGGGACUUAUCGACGCUCAUGCUCGAAAGUGCGGGUAGCAAACAGGAUUAGAUACCCUGGUA